AUGCUGGAGGUAUCAGAAGUGCGAAUGCUGACAUAAGUAACGAUAAUGCGGGUGAAAAACCCGCACGCCGGAAGACCAAGGGUUCCUGUCCAACGUUAAUCGGGGCAGGGUGAGUCGACCCCUAAGGCGAGGCAGAAAUGCGUAGUCGAUGGGAAACGGGUUAAUAUUCCCGUACUGGUGAUAAUUGCGAUGGGGGGACGGAGAAGGCUAGGCUGGCCGGGCGACGGUUGUCCCGGUUUAAGGAUGUAGGCAGGUGAAUUAGGCAAAUCCGGUUCACUAUAUGCUGAGGUCUGAUGACGAGUCACUACGGUGGCGAAGUAGCUCAUGCCCCGCUUCCAGGAAAAGCCUCUAAGCUCUAGAUUAUCAUUAAUCGUACCCCAAACCGACACAGGUGGUCAGGUAGAGAAUACUCAGGCGCUUGAGAGAACUCGGGUGAAGGAACUAGGCAAAAUGGUGCCGUAACUUCGGGAGAAGGCACGCUGGCGCUAGGUGAAGUGGUUUACCCAUGGAGCUGAAGCCAGUCGCAGAUACCAGCUGGCUGCAACUGUUUAUUAAAAACACAGCACUGUGCAAACACGAAAGUGGACGUAUACGGUGUGACGCCUGCCCGGUGCUGGAAGGUUAAUUGAUGGGGUUAUCCGUAAGGAGAAGCUCUUGAUCGAAGCCCCAGUAAACGGCGGCCGUAACUAUAACGGUCCUAAGGUAGCGAAAUUCCUUGUCGGGUAAGUUCCGACCUGCACGAAUGGCGUAAUGAUGGCCAGGCUGUCUCCACCCGAGACUCAGUGAAAUUGAACUCGCUGUGAAGAUGCAGUGUACCCGCGGCAAGACGGAAAGACCCCGUGAACCUUUACUAUAGCUUGACACUGAACAUUGAGCCUUGAUGUGUAGGAUAGGUGGGAGGCUUUGAAGUGUGGACGCCAGUCUGCAUGGAGCCAACCUUGAAAUACCACCCUUUAAUGUUUGAUGUUCUAACGUUGCCCCGUUAUCCGGGGUGCGGACAGUGUCUGGUGGGUAGUUUGACUGGGGCGGUCUCCUCCCAAAGAGUAACGGAGGAGCACGAAGGUUGGCUAAGCAUGGUCGGACAUCAUGCGGUUAGUGCAAAGGCAUAAGCCAGCUUGACUGCGAGAGUGACGGCUCGAGCAGGUACGAAAGUAGGUCUUAGUGAUCCGGUGGUUCUGAAUGGAAGGGCCAUCGCUCAACGGAUAAAAGGUACUCCGGGGAUAACAGGCUGAUACCGCCCAAGAGUUCAUAUCGACGGCGGUGUUUGGCACCUCGAUGUCGGCUCAUCACAUCCUGGGGCUGAAGUAGGUCCCAAGGGUACGGCUGUUCGCCGUUUAAAGUGGUACGCGAGCUGGGUUUAGAACGUCGUGAGACAGUUCGGUCCCUAUCUGCCGUGGGCGUUGGAAGAUUGAAAGGGGCUGCUCCUAGUACGAGAGGACCGGAGUGGACGCACCACUGGUGUUCGGGUUGUCAUGCCAAUGGCAUUGCCCGGUAGCUAAGUGCGGAAGAGAUAACCGCUGAAAGCAUCUAAGCGGGAAACUUGCCUUGAGAUGAGUCUUCCCUGACCCUUUAAGGGUCCUAAAGGAACGUUUAAGACUAAGACGUUGAUAGGUUGGGUGUGUAAGCAUAGCGAUAUGUUGAGCUAACCAAUACUAAUGAACCGUGAGGCUUAACCUG
RNAcentral lists this ribosomal RNA (1677 nucleotides) under Providencia rettgeri. RNAcentral describes it as "partial 23S ribosomal RNA". It matches the Rfam family "Bacterial large subunit ribosomal RNA", at positions 1270 to 2925 of the family's 2925-position model. The record is from RNAcentral. Lineage: Bacteria; Pseudomonadati; Pseudomonadota; Gammaproteobacteria; Enterobacterales; Morganellaceae.